AUGGCCUCCCCUAAGCUCUUCCUUCUCCUCAUCAGUGUCAUCAUCUCCAUGGCAAUCACUAGUACUCCGGCGGCUGCGGCAAAUGGUCGCAUACAUCUCAUCAUGGUGAACAACUGCGCCGAGUCGGUGUGGCCGGCCAUGCUCGGCACCACCGGCCACGCCACGCCGCAGUCGGGCGGCUUCCACCUCGGCCCCGGCGAAGAGACCACCUUCGACGUGCCAGUAGGGUGGUCGGGGCGGGUGUGGCCGCGCCGGGGCUGCUCCUUCGACGCGCGCGGCAUGGGCAAGUGCGCCACGGGCGACUGCGGCGGCGUGCUGCGGUGCGGGGGCGCCCCGGGCGCCACCCCGACCACCGUGGUGGAGAUGACGCUGGGGACUCCACAGUCGCCGAUGCACUUCUACGACGUGAGCCUGGUGGACGGGUUCAACGCGCCGGUUUCCAUGACGCCGGUCGGUGGCGGCCGCGGGUGCGGCGUGGCGGCGUGCGGGGCGGACCUGAACGUCUGCUGCCCGUCGGCGCUGGAGGUGAGGGACCGGGAAGGGAGGGUGGCCGGUUGCCGGAGCGCGUGUCUGGCGAUGGGCAGCGACAAGUACUGCUGCACCGGGGAGUACGGGACGCCGGCGGCGUGCAAGCCCACUAUGUUCUCGCACCUGUUCAAGGCCAUCUGCCCCAGGGCCUACAGCUACGCCUUCGACGACGCCUCAAGCCUCAACCGCUGCAAGGCCAACCGAUACCUCAUCACAUUCUGCCCACCACAACCUGAAUGA
RNAcentral lists this ribosomal RNA (768 nucleotides) under Triticum aestivum (bread wheat). RNAcentral's name for it is "partial small subunit ribosomal RNA". Lineage: Eukaryota; Viridiplantae; Streptophyta; Magnoliopsida; Poales; Poaceae. The record is from RNAcentral.